GCACAAGCAGUGGAGUAUGUGGUUUAAUUCGACGCAACGCGAAGAACCUUACCAAGUCUUGACAUCCCUUGACAGACAUAGAAAUAUGUAAUCUCUUCGGAGCAAGGAGACAGGUGGUGCAUGGUUGUCGUCAGCUCGUGUCGUGAGAUGUUGGGUUAAGUCCCGCAACGAGCGCAACCCUUAUGGUCAGUUACUACGCAAGAGGACUCUGGCCAGACUGCCGUUGACAAAA
This 232-nucleotide ribosomal RNA is filed under the name uncultured bacterium. RNAcentral's name for it is "partial 16S ribosomal RNA". It matches the Rfam family "Bacterial small subunit ribosomal RNA", at positions 923 to 1163 of the family's 1533-position model. The record is from RNAcentral.